Molecule: long non-coding RNA, 3040 nt
Organism: Eriocheir sinensis (Chinese mitten crab)
Lineage: Eukaryota; Metazoa; Arthropoda; Malacostraca; Decapoda; Varunidae
Exons: 3
Source: RefSeq, a predicted model, not a curated record
AAACAAGAACACCACCUUGAAAUACACCACCACUCAACACCAUUCACCACCACCACCACCAACACCACCACCAGGGUGCUCUAUGAAGGGUUUAGUGUCCAUGUUGUCAAGUCCAUCUCCCUCAAUCUGUUCUGGGACCAUUUUAGUUGCGGUUCUCUGUAUCCUUUCCAACUCCACAUACUCCACCACUUCUUCCCACAAGCUGUUCCAUGUGUUAACACUUCUAUGUGAAAAACUUUACUUUUUCCAGUCACUUAAACAGGCUCCUUUAUUAAGUUUCCUUCCGUGUCCUCUCAGCCCCUGCGUUAGUGAUGCUAAGAAAUCAUCUCUAUCCACCUCAUCAAACAGGGGGCUUCGUGGUACAGUGGUUAGCACACUCGGCUCACGACCGAGAGAGCCCGGGUUCGAUUCCCGGGUGGAGUGGAAAAAUUUGGGUGGCUUUUCUGACUAAACCAAACUUUCCAACUGUUCCCUUCUCCUAUAAUUCCUUCCCCUUCUGUCUCUCUCCGGCAUAUGACCACAGAUGUUGCGCCCAAUAAACAAAACUUUCCAACUCUUUCCUCAUCAAACUUAUUUACCAACUUGUACAGUGUGAUCAAAUCUCCUCUCUCCCUUCUUUGUUCCAGUGUCGUCAAGUCCAUCUCCCUCAAUCUGUCUUCAUACGUCAUAUUCGAGAGUUCUGGGACCAUUUUGUUGCAAUUCUCUGUCUUGAGUCCAACAUCAUAAUCUUCCUUUGCAUAGUUUUUCCUUUUUUCCUUAUAUGCCUCAUCUUGGUAUUCAAAUCCUUCCAUAGUUUUCAUCUGUCAUAGUUGAUGGCCAUUCUUUCCUAAGGGGCACUCGUCUAAUUUCAUCUAACUCAACAUUUUUUGUGAAAAUUAGGUCAAGUCUUGAUGGUUGGUCAUCCCCUCUUAGCCUUGUUUCUCCUUUAACCCACUGCAUCAACAGAUUAUCACAUCAGGUGUGUGUGUGUGUGUGUGUGUGUGUGUGUGUGUGUGUGUUUAGCUAGUUGUUGUAUUUACCUAGUUGUAGUUUUAUAGGGCCUGGGCUUGACGUUCGUGUGGUCCCGUCUCUGUAUCUACAUUUAUCCAACUUUUCCUUGAAGCUUUGCACACUCCUUUCUGGUACUACAUCCUCACUUAGUCUGUUCCAAACCUCUAUAUUUCUUUAUGUCUCUCAAGCAUCUUCCCUUCCUCAAUUUUUUACUGUGUCCUCUUGUGUUCCUGGUGGUAAUUUCUUCUUUUAGUAGUAACUCCUCGUUGUCUACUUCUUCCAUUUUGCUCAAUAAUUUGUAGAUUUGUAUUAGGUCUCCCGUUUCUCUUCUUUGUUCUAGUGUUGGUAAGUCCAUUUCCUUUAGUCUCUCCUCGUAUGUCAAUCCCUGGAACCAUUUUUGUUGCCAUCUUUUGUAUUCUUUCUAGUUUCUUGAUGUGUUUCUUCUUAUGGGGAGACCACACUGCCUCUGCAUGUGUGUGUGUGUGUGUGUGUGUGUAAGAUUGACUGACUGAUGAAUGAAUAACUGCGAUUAAUUAGGCUGGUAUUACAAGACACUUUCCCUGCUCACAUCAGCUACUUCUAAAGGUCAAAGGGGGAUAUCAGUCAGGUUCUAAUGAGUGUUUUUCAGGCUCAUGGUACAGAAGAAGGGUUAAACUACCACCAGGGUCAUAAAACUACUCCUGGAAAUGCCCACAACUGCGAAAGCCUUGUCAAAUAGGUGUUCGUGGGCGGCGAAAUAUCUUGUAAUACGACCCUAAGUAAAUAACUUCUUGAUGGAGUGGAUGAUUGACUUGGCAUCUUGUAGCUUUACUCUCAGCUAUUUCAAGUUCCCGACUGAUGUACUAACACCCUCAGAUUGGCUACAGUGAAGGUCGUGGCAGAGAGUGUACUCAAACUCCUACUGUGAGCUACUCCUGAUGCCUGCGCCCUCACCACCCCUGUGAAGGACGCCCAGCUGACCCAACCCUCCACGUGUGCCCCUGAGAGCUCCCUGCAGCACAGCGAGUCUCUUCUUGGACGGCUCAGAGGCACAGAAGAUGUAGCCAGACUUACCGGCCAAACCCAAGGGUGUGUGUUGAUGCUGGGACCAAGAAGAAGAAGAAGAGAAAAAGGAGGAAGAUGAUGAUAAAGGCAACAGAAAGAUCAGAAGAAGAGGAGGAGGAAGAAUGGAAGAAGAGAACACACACACACACACACACAUAUGACAAACACCUUUUUCUAUAUUUUUCAUUUUUAUUAGUCCAUACAACAUACAUUAGCUAUAUACAUAUAAUACAACAUAUGCAUAACUAUAUACAUUAGAUCAUAGAGUGAGUGAGUGAGACCCGAGAGGCGAGAUAGAGGUGCCCCCCCCUCUCUCUCUCUCUCUCUCUCUCUCUCUCUCACCUCACCUCACCUCACCACAGCUCACAGGACCCCACAGAUGUGCCGCCCACAGACACAUACCCCCCCAGCCUCAUGAAGGACCCCCUUCUCCCUCCCUCCCCCCCUAGCCAACAUAGCACCCACACAGCCUUAUCAAUGUUACUAUGUAUAUGUAUGUAUGUGUGUUUUUCUAUUAAUAAAAAGAUAAUUUGUAAUGUUUGUGUGUUCUAUUCCUAUGAGAUAGAGAGGAAGAGAGGAAAAGGUAAAGAGGGAGAGAGAGAGAACGAAAUGAGAGAGAGAGAGGAGGUAAGGGAAGGAGAGAGAUGAGAAAAGGAAAAGAAAUAAUGAAAGAAAGAACAAAGAAAUUUGCUGAUAAAAGAGAGAGAAAGGUAUCAGAAGGGAGAGGGAGAGAGGCAAGGUAAUAAUAUUGAUUAGUAAUAGUGUCUCAACUAACCUACUAACUAACUAUGGAAUGACAGAGAUGACCAAAUGUCAACUGUAUGUACCUAGCUAACUGUAUGAGACUGUAUGUUAUAUAUACUCUAUAACAAAGGCAAUAUUAUCUUAACAGAGAGAGAGAGAGAGAUCUAAUCAGUAUGUAGCAAAGUCUAAAGGCCUAUGUAUAUGCCUACCUAGUGAGAGGAAGCUGAACUCUAUAACGAAGGCAAUAUUAUCUUAAGAGAGA